This 804-nucleotide ribosomal RNA is filed under the name Allodorylaimus sp. PDL-2005. RNAcentral describes it as "SSU rRNA". It matches the Rfam family "Eukaryotic small subunit ribosomal RNA", at positions 39 to 845 of the family's 1831-position model. The record is from RNAcentral. Lineage: Eukaryota; Metazoa; Nematoda; Enoplea; Dorylaimida; Qudsianematidae.
AAAGAUUAAGCCAUGCAUGUCUAAGCACAUGCCUUAAUACGGUGAAGCCGCGAAUAGCUCAUUACAACAGCCAUCGUUUAUUAGAAUAUCGUUAUCUUACUUGGAUAACUGUGGCAAUUCUAGAGCUAAUACAUGCAAUAAAGCUCCGCCCGAAAGGAACGAGCGCAUUUAUUAGAAUAAAAACCAAUCGAGCUUCGGCUCGUAAUUUGGUGAAUCUGAAUAACUUUGCCAAUCGCACAGUCCUAGUACUGGCGAUGUAUCUUUCAAGUGUCUGCCUUAUCAACUUUCGAUGGUACGCUAUACGCCUACCAUGGUAGUAACGGGUAACGGAGAAUAAGGGUUCGACUCCGGAGAGGGAGCCUGAGAAACGGCUACCACAUCCAAGGAAGGCAGCAGGCGCGCAAAUUACCCACUUCCAGAACGGAGAGGUAGUGACGAAAAAUAACGAGACAGUCCUCUUCGAGGUCUGUCAUCGGAAUGGGUACAAUUUAAAUCCUUUAACGAGGAUCUAUUGGAGGGCAAGUCUGGUGCCAGCAGCCGCGGUAAUUCCAGCUCCAAUAGCGUAUAUUAAAGUUGUUGCGGUUAAAACGCUCGUAGUUGGAUCUGCGGCCUCGAAGGAUGGUCUCCCUAAAGGGUAGUCACUGUCUCUUCUAGCCUAAAUUCGAGUUGUCUUUAGGUGCUCUUUAUUGAGUGCUUAGAGCGACUAGAACGUUUACUUUGAAAAAAUUAGAGUGCUUAAAGCAGACGAAAUAGUCUGAAUAAGGUGCAUGGAAUAAUGGAAUAGGACCUCGGUUCUAUUUUGUU